Molecule: ribosomal RNA, 464 nt
Filed under: Vreelandella stevensii
Lineage: Bacteria; Pseudomonadati; Pseudomonadota; Gammaproteobacteria; Oceanospirillales; Halomonadaceae
Description: partial 16S ribosomal RNA
Rfam family: Bacterial small subunit ribosomal RNA
Source: RNAcentral
CCUACGGGUGGCUGCAGUGGGGAAUAUUGGACAAUGGGGGGAACCCUGAUCCAGCCAUGCCGCGUGUGUGAAGAAGGCCCUCGGGUUGUAAAGCACUUUCAGUGAGGAAGAACGCCUGGUGGUUAAUACCCAUCAGGAAAGACAUCACUCACAGAAGAAGCACCGGCUAACUCCGUGCCAGCAGCCGCGGUAAUACGGAGGGUGCGAGCGUUAAUCGGAAUUACUGGGCGUAAAGCGCGCGUAGGUGGCUUGAUAAGCCGGUUGUGAAAGCCCCGGGCUCAACCUGGGAACGGCAUCCGGACCGUCAAGGUAGGGGGCAGGGGAGGAAAGUAGAAUUCCCGGUGGAGCGGGGAAAUGCGGAGAGGUCGGGAGGAAUACCAGUGGCGAAGGCCGCCUUCUGGACCUACACUGAAACUGGGGUGGGAAAGCGUGGGUAGCAAACAGGAUUAGAUACCCCAGUAGUC